AAUCUGUCUGCCUUUAUCUGUUUGCCACUUUUCCAGGCUAUCCUUGCUUGUGCAUUUGCUGAGAAGGACUAUCAGAAAGCAGCUGCCACUGCAGCCCGAGUACUACAGAUGGGAUUUGUACUGGGACUUGGACUUGCUCUUUUUGUGGGACUUGGAUUGCAAUUUGGAUCUGGAAUAUUUUCGAAGGACAAAAGCGUUAUUCACAUGAUAUCUAUAGGCAUCCCGUUUGUUGCAGCUACACAGCCAAUAAACUCAUUAGCAUUUGUUUUUGAUG
Olea europaea var. sylvestris is the source of this 274-nucleotide long non-coding RNA. RefSeq lists it as uncharacterized. The record is from RefSeq and is a predicted model, not a curated record. The transcript is spliced from 3 exons. NCBI's taxonomy places the organism in Eukaryota, Viridiplantae, Streptophyta, Magnoliopsida, Lamiales, Oleaceae.